Biomphalaria glabrata is the source of this 427-nucleotide long non-coding RNA. RefSeq lists it as uncharacterized. NCBI's taxonomy places the organism in Eukaryota, Metazoa, Mollusca, Gastropoda, Planorbidae. The record is from RefSeq and is a predicted model, not a curated record. The transcript has 4 exons.
CUGAUGUAGGUGUUGGUGCUGAUGUUGGUGUCAGUUCAGAGGUUGGUGUUGGUACUGAUGUUGGUGUUGGAGCUGAUGUUGGUGUUGGAGCUGAUGUUGGUGUAAGUUCAGAUGUUGGUGUUGGUGCUGAUGUUGGUGUCAGUUCAGAGGUUGGUGUUGGUACUGAUGUUGGUGUUGGAGCUGAUGUUGGUGUCAGUUCAGAUGUUGGAGUUGGAGCUGAUGUUGGUGUAAGUUCAGAGGUUGGUGUUGGUGCUGAUGUUGGUGUCUGUUCAGAGGUUGGUGUUGGUACUGAUGUUGGUGUUGGAGCUGAUGUUGGUGUUGGAGCUGAUGUUGGUGUAAGUUCAGAUGUUGGUGUUGGUGCUGAUGUUGGUGUCAGUUCAGAGGUUGGUGUUGGUACUGAUGUUGGUGUUGGAGCUGAUGUUGGUGU